UAUAAUUUAGUGUAUGGUGCACGCAGGUUUUUGGAUCCUGAAGAUUAAGUUCAACUCUUUUUAUUAUAA
This 69-nucleotide transfer RNA is filed under the name Pheretima iizukai. RNAcentral describes it as "tRNA-Gln". It matches the Rfam family "tRNA". From Rfam's summary of the family: Transfer RNA (tRNA) molecules are approximately 80 nucleotides in length. The record is from RNAcentral. Lineage: Eukaryota; Metazoa; Annelida; Clitellata; Crassiclitellata; Megascolecidae.